CACGGAGUUAGCCGGGGCUUAUUCUCCCGGUACAGUCAUUAUCUUCCCGGGUAAAAGAGCUUUACAACCCUAGGGCCUUCAUCACUCACGCGGCAUUGCUGGAUCAGGCUUGCGCCCAUUGUCCAAUAUUCCCCACUGCUGCCUCCCGUAGGAGUCUGGGCCGUGUCUCAGUCCCAGUGUGGCUGAUCAUCUUCUCAGACCAGCUAUGGAUCGUCGGCUUGGUAGGCCUUUACCCCACCAACUACCUAAUCCAACGCGGGCUCAUCCUCUGGCGAUAAAUCUUUGGACUUUCGUCAUCAUCCGGUAUUAGCAGCCGUUUCCAGCUGUUAUUCCGAACCAAAGGGCAGAUUCCCACGCGUUACGCACCCGUGCGCCACUAAGGCCGAAGCCUUCGUUCGACUUGCAUGUGUUAGGCAUGCCGCCAGCGUUCGUUCUGAGCCAGGAUCAAACUCU
RNAcentral lists this ribosomal RNA (453 nucleotides) under uncultured Sphingomonas sp. RNAcentral describes it as "partial 16S ribosomal RNA". Lineage: Bacteria; Pseudomonadati; Pseudomonadota; Alphaproteobacteria; Sphingomonadales; Sphingomonadaceae. The record is from RNAcentral.